UUAGGCGGCUUGCUGGGUCUUUACUGACGCUGAGGCACGAAAGCGUGGGGAGCAAACAGGAUUAGAUACCCUGGUAGUCCACGCCGUAAACGAUGAGUACUAAGUGUCGGGAUUACUCGGUACUGAAGUUUAACACAUUAAAGUAACUCCGCCUGAGUAGUACGGACCGCAAAGAAUGGAAAACCCAU
RNAcentral lists this ribosomal RNA (188 nucleotides) under Coconut root wilt phytoplasma. Its description in RNAcentral is "partial 16S ribosomal RNA". It matches the Rfam family "Bacterial small subunit ribosomal RNA", at positions 717 to 904 of the family's 1533-position model. The record is from RNAcentral. Lineage: Bacteria; Bacillati; Mycoplasmatota; Mollicutes; Acholeplasmatales; Acholeplasmataceae.